RNAcentral lists this long non-coding RNA (619 nucleotides) under Helianthus annuus (common sunflower). RNAcentral describes it as "sRNA HanXRQr2_Chr08g0346281". The record is from RNAcentral. Lineage: Eukaryota; Viridiplantae; Streptophyta; Magnoliopsida; Asterales; Asteraceae.
CAAACCCUAAUGACGACAACGUUCAUAUGAUCCAACCGGUCGAUGUAUAAUCGAUUGUUGGAAGAAAUUGAUUGCCUCAUGUAGAAGAUCGAAUGGAUGGAUGAAAACUUUUUCCUCAAAACACGCGUAUCCUAAAUCUCAAUCUGCUCACCAAUCUAAUCUCUUCUCCUCACUCUCUGUUCACUCAAUGAUCCGUCAACAUUCACACACACAACCUAACCUAACGGAAACUAUCACACAAUAGGAGGAAAAAUCUUGAACAACGACAACAAGCAAAUUGUGCGCUAUGGUGGAAGAGAUAAGAGAUGAGUUCCGAAGUGGAUUCGUUGAGCAGAGUCGCCGAGUUGGAAAUAUUAUUCGGUGACACUUCUAUGUUAACGGCGUUGCUAGAGGGGAAGUCUUCCUCCAGAGGAGUUCUGUAGGCAAAGUUUUGUGAUAGCAAAAGCAUCAGAAGUAGGUAGGUUCUGGGAACGAAAUGUGAAAGAUCCUAGCCGUAGCAGUAGCAGUAUUAAGUGUUUUGUUGAACCGCUCACUAACAAUUGGACAUUUAUAAAGUCAUUUGGAUCAUGUGAUAUGGUAUACCUUGGUUUUUCUUAUAGCCAAAUGGGAGACUGAUACU